This 659-nucleotide ribosomal RNA is filed under the name Limosilactobacillus fermentum. RNAcentral describes it as "bacterial SSU rRNA". It matches the Rfam family "Bacterial small subunit ribosomal RNA", at positions 45 to 661 of the family's 1533-position model. The record is from RNAcentral. Lineage: Bacteria; Bacillati; Bacillota; Bacilli; Lactobacillales; Lactobacillaceae.
UGCCUAAUACAUGCAAGUCGAACGCGUUGGCCCAAUUGAUUGACGGUGCUUGCACCUGAUUGAUUUUGGUCGCCAACGAGUGGCGGACGGGUGAGUAACACGUAGGUAACCUGCCCAGAAGCGGGGGACAACAUUUGGAAACAGAUGCUAAUACCGCAUAACAGCGUUGUUCGCAUGAACAACGCUUAAAAGAUGGCUUCUCGCUAUCACUUCUGGAUGGACCUGCGGUGCAUUAGCUUGUUGGUGGGGUAAUGGCCUACCAAGGCGAUGAUGCAUAGCCGAGUUGAGAGACUGAUCGGCCACAAUGGGACUGAGACACGGCCCAUACUCCUACGGGAGGCAGCAGUAGGGAAUCUUCCACAAUGGGCGCAAGCCUGAUGGAGCAACACCGCGUGAGUGAAGAAGGGUUUCGGCUCGUAAAGCUCUGUUGUUAAGAAGAACACGUAUGAGAGUAACUGUUCAUACGUUGACGGUAUUUAACCAGAAAGUCACGGCUAACUACGUGCCAGCAGCCGCGGUAAUACGUAGGUGGCAAGCGUUUUCCGGAUUUAUUGGGCGUAAAGAGAGUGCAGGCGGUUUCCUAAGUCUGAUGUGAAAGCCUUCGGCUUAACCGGAGAAGUGCAUCGGAAACUGGAUAACUUGAGUGCAGAAGAGGGUAG